UAGGGAAUCUUCCGCAAUGGGCGAAAGCUUGACGGAGCAACGCCGCGUGAGUGAUGAAGGUCUUCGGAUCGUAAAACUCUGUUAUUAGGGAAGAACAAAUGUGGAAGUAACUAUGCACGUCUUGACGGUACCUAAUCAGAAAGCCACGGCUAACUACGUGCCAGCAGCCGCGGUAAUACGUAGGUGGCAAGCGUUAUCCGGAAUUAUUGGGCGUAAAGCGCGCGUAGGCGGUUUUUUAAGUCUGAUGUGAAAGCCCACGGCUCAACCGUGGAGGGUCAUUGGAAACUGGAAAACUUGAGUGCAGAAGAGGAAAGUGGAAUUCCAUGUGUAGCGGUGAAAUGCGCAGAGAUAUGGAGGAACACCAGUGGCGAAGGCGACUUUCUGGUCUGUAACUGACGCUGAUGUGCGAAAGCGUGGGGAUCAAACAGG
RNAcentral lists this ribosomal RNA (429 nucleotides) under Actinomycetes bacterium. RNAcentral describes it as "Actinobacteria bacterium partial 16S ribosomal RNA". It matches the Rfam family "Bacterial small subunit ribosomal RNA", at positions 355 to 776 of the family's 1533-position model. Lineage: Bacteria; Bacillati; Actinomycetota; Actinomycetes. The record is from RNAcentral.